AAACGCUUUAAGUCAGUCAUAUUCUUCAGAAAUCAACUUGAUUUUUUGGAUCUAGCUUAUUUUCUGUUGAAUGGGCCAGCAUCAAUUUUAACCGUUGGACAAAGGCAUUGGGAAGGUAGCAUCUCUUGGAUGUGUUAUAGCCUAAUGAUCCAAAUACAAUGGUUGGGAUUGAGGAACUCAGUGUGAACCUGGAGCUUCGGCUUACAUUCCGCACUUUGGAUGCUGGCGUAAUGGCUUUAAUCGA
RNAcentral lists this ribosomal RNA (244 nucleotides) under Agaricales sp. RNAcentral's name for it is "partial large subunit ribosomal RNA". Lineage: Eukaryota; Fungi; Basidiomycota; Agaricomycetes; Agaricales. The record is from RNAcentral.